This 1549-nucleotide ribosomal RNA is filed under the name Pseudomonas aeruginosa. Its description in RNAcentral is "partial 23S ribosomal RNA". It matches the Rfam family "Bacterial large subunit ribosomal RNA", at positions 323 to 1871 of the family's 2925-position model. Lineage: Bacteria; Pseudomonadati; Pseudomonadota; Gammaproteobacteria; Pseudomonadales; Pseudomonadaceae. The record is from RNAcentral.
AACGAGUUAAAUGAAGCGGCAUGGAAAGGCCCACCAAAGAAGGUAACAGUCCUGUAAUUGAAAGUUCGUUCUCUCCAGAGUGGAUCCUGAGUACGGCGGAACACGUGAAAUUCCGUCGGAAUCCGGGAGGACCAUCUCCCAAGGCUAAAUACUACCUAGUGACCGAUAGUGAACCAGUACCGUGAGGGAAAGGUGAAAAGCACCCCGGAAGGGGAGUGAAAGAGAUCCUGAAACCAUGUGCCUACAAGUAGUUAGAGCCCGUUAAUGGGUGAUAGCGUGCCUUUUGUAGAAUGAACCGGCGAGUUACGAUUACGUGCGAGGUUAAGUUGAGAAGACGGAGCCGCAGCGAAAGCGAGUCUGAAUAGGGCGAAUUAGUACGUGGUCGUAGACCCGAAACCAGGUGAUCUACCCAUGUCCAGGGUGAAGGUGAGGUAACACUUACUGGAGGCCCGAACCCACGUACGUUGAAAAGUGCGGGGAUGAGGUGUGGGUAGCGGAGAAAUUCCAAUCGAACCUGGAAAUAGCUGGUUCUCUCCGAAAUAGCUUUAGGGCUAGCCUCGCGGCUAAGAAUCUUGGAGGUAGAGCACUGUUUGGACUAGGGGUCCAUCCCGGAUUACCGAAUUCAGACAAACUCCGAAUGCCAAUGAUUUAUACGCGGGAGUCAGACUGCGAGUGAUAAGAUCCGUAGUCAAAAGGGAAACAGCCCAGACCACCAGCUAAGGUCCCAAAGUAAUCGUUAAGUGGAAAAGGAUGUGACGUUGCUUAGACAACCAGGAUGUUGGCUCAGAAGCAGCCAUCAUUUAAAGAGUGCGUAAUAGCUCACUGGUCGAGUGACGCUGCGCCGAAAAUGUAUCGGGGCUCAACGAUUCACCGAAGCUGUGGAUGGACAUCUCAGAUGUCCGUGGUAGGAGAGCGUUCUAAUCGCUGUGAAGUCAGAUCGUAAGGACUGGUGGAGCGUUUAGAAGUGAGAAUGCCGGUAUGAGUAGCGAAAGAUGAGUGAGAAUCCCAUGCACCGUAUGACUAAGGUUUCCUGAGGAAGGCUCGUCCGCUCAGGGUUAGUCGGGACCUAAGCCGAGGCCGAUAGGCGUAGGCGAUGGACAACAGGUUGAUAUUCCUGUACCACCUCCUUACCAUUUGAGCAAUGGGGGGACGCAGUAGGAUAGGGUAAGCGUGCUGUUGGUUAUGCACGUCUAAGCAGUGAGGUGUGAAUGUAGGCAAAUCCGCAUUCUUUAACAUUGAGCUGUGAUAGCGAAGUUCUUUAGAACGAAGUUCCUGAUUUCACACUGCCAAGAAAAGCCUCUAGCGAGGUAAGAGGUGCCCGUACCGCAAACCGACACAGGUAGUCGAGGAGAGAAUCCUAAGGUGUGCGAGAGAACUCUCGUUAAGGAACUCGGCAAAAUGACCCCGUAACUUCGGGAGAAGGGGUGCUCUGGUAGGGUGCAAGCCCGAGAGAGCCGCAGUGAAUAGGCCCAAGCGACUGUUUAUCAAAAACACAGGUCUCUGCUAAACCGUAAGGUGAUGUAUAGGGGCUGACGCCUGCCCGGUGCUG